RNAcentral lists this long non-coding RNA (2718 nucleotides) under Nicotiana tabacum (common tobacco). Its description in RNAcentral is "long non-coding RNA (NTAB_LNC013022)". The record is from RNAcentral. Lineage: Eukaryota; Viridiplantae; Streptophyta; Magnoliopsida; Solanales; Solanaceae.
UCAUAUUCACCCAAUCAUCACAUACAAAUGGACCUGCAAUAUUCCCAUCUUCACAAACAUGCGUACAAAGAUGAGUAGAAAAUCCAUCAUCAAAAAGAUGAAGCUUGUCAAAGGCCUUCUCAAAGUUUUGCGCCGUUUCCAACAUCAAGUAGGUGGAAUUUCACCUUGUAGGAACAUCCAAACACAAUAUUUUGCUACAUUCUACCUCUUGAUGUGCACAACAUUCCCUAAACUUUAAGGACCUUUGCGGAGAUGAUCUCACAUACCUCACAGCUUGUCUAACACGUUUUACAGAAACAUCAAUUUCCUUCAAACCAUCUUGCACAAUUAGAUUAAGUAUGUGAGCCAUGCAUCUCACAUGAAGAUGCUUACCACUCAUCGAAUUAGUUUUCCACAUAUCUAGUUGUUUAGACAAUUCUUUGACCGUGACAUCAUUCGAAGAAGCAUUAUCAAUAGUAACAGUGAAUACCUUAUCCAAUUUUCAUUCAAGCAAACAAUUACCAAUAACUUUUGCCAUUUCGUCACCCUUAUGACUAGAGAUAGGGCAAAAAUUUAGUAUUCUUUUAUGCAACACCCAAUCUCUAUCAAUAAAAUGACCCGUCAAACACAUAUAGUUAAUUCUUUGUAAUGAAGUCCAUGUGUCUGUGGUAAGGCAAAUUUUUGGUUUUACUUCUCUGAAAUUUUUCAUUAGUGUAAGCCUUUCUUCAUUGUAAACUUGAAAAUAAUCCCUUGUAAUUGUCCUACGAGAAGGAACAUUAAAUAGAGGUUGGGCUAUGCUCAUAAACUUCUUAAAGCCUUUCUUUUCAACAAAACUAAAAGGUAAUUCCUCUGUAAUUACCAUCUCAACUAAAGCCCUCCUAACUAGUUCUUGUUCAAAUUUUCAAAGCACCACACCAUUAAUUUGCCCAUCCUUUUUUAAACACAAUUGUGUUUGAGUAUUAUCAACUUUUCGUGGUAUUUUUGGACACUUCUUUAAAUGAGUAUUCAAUGAUGUUGUUCCAUUCAAUCGUGAAUCAGCCUUAUAAUCACGACCACAAUAUCUACACUUUGCUCUAUCACCUCCAUUAUCAUCUUUAAACUUUUCAAAAUGAUCCCAAGCAGUUGAUCUACAUUGUACGAUUUUUUUUUUUUUUGGGUCUUGACUAGUUUCAACUGAAUUUGUAGGUGAAGAUGUGAUUUCGCUUUCAGAUGAACCCACCCCACUUACUCUACUUUCAACUUCUGUCAUCUAUAGAAAAUCGAAUGAAAAUAGAAUUAAGGUCAGAACUCCUAUAAGUCUAUAACAAAUAGACACUACAAGAAAUCAUAACUACGACGACAUUUAUUUAGCGACAUAUAUAAUAAAUGUCGAAAAAAAUUAAUUCUUUGAUAUUAAAAUUUUGGUAAGUAUUUUUCUAUUCUAAUCUGUUGUUCACUGGAUUAAAUUUCUGGUUAACUGCCUUUAAAAUAUUUUACAUAAGAUUAAAGUUUGCACUUUCUUUGAUUCAUCUUUUCAUGUUGAACUGAUUUUGUACUAGUAGUGAUGAGAUUAUUAACAUUAUUUGGUUGUUCAAUCGUACUUACUGCUAUAGUUUACUGCUAUAGUUUAUUUAACAUGUUUUCAAGCCAUUAUUUUGACCAUGAACUAGAAUUGCUCUUGACCUUUUAUACCUUUUUAUAAUUAUUUUGUGGAGUACUGGACCUGGACUUAAUAGUUGGCUUGUCAAUUUGUCAAUGCUGUUUUUCUUGUUAAUUGUACUAUGCUCGGAUGCAAUUGAUCUUUCAAGAUCUCAUUCUUCUGCUAUAGCUAGUUAGCUACUAAUUUUUCUAUGUUCAUAAGUGAAAACAUGUUUAAUCUGUAACUUUCUCUUUUAACUUUAGAGUUUAUUUACAUUACUUAUUUAUUGUAGUGGUAUGUAAAGCAAAUCUUUUGCUUUUUAGGUUGGCCAUCUACCUAGAAACCUCAUUUGGCAGAAACAUCUAAAUCCAAGCACCUUUCUCUUUUAACUUUAGAGUUUAUUUAUAAUACUUAUUUAUUGUAGUGGUAUGUAAAGCAAAUUCCUUGCUUUUUCGGUUGGCCAUAAACUGAUAAACCUCCUUUGGCAGAAACAUCCAAGCACCUUAUUAUUUUAUUGGUGUACUUGAUUGCUUUUUGAAAUUUUGAGAGAAAUUGUGGUGCUUAAUACUAAAGUAAAGCUGUCCAUACGUUAGACCUGAUUUUGAAAUAUAUUGAAGUGAAAGAAUAAGACAGUGAGACAUUUUCUUUCUUCAUACACAAAGAAUAACAGUGAGAUAAUUAAAAAUCAACAUAAACAAAAGACUAACAGUCAGACUAAUUGAAAAUCAACAUACACAAAAGAUUAAGACAUUUUCUUUAUUCAUAACUCAGAAGAACUUGCACUAACCUGAGAAUGAAAGAUGAGCGACGAGCUGAGGAAGAAGGCGUCACAGUUGAGUUGAGGAAGAAGGCGCAGAACUCGCAGGAACUCAGAAGAAGUCGCAGCAGUCGGCGACGACGAGUCGCAGCAGUCGCAACAGUCGCACAGCAAGAAGGAAGAACUGAAGAGGCGAACUUUUCAAUUGAUGUAGGUUUGAGAACCCUAAAUCUAAUUCUUUAUUUAGGUUUGGAAAAUGGAAAAUGGGAAGUGACUAAGUGUAAUGUGUAUUAGUGAUUUAGUGAGUUGUAACCAAUGGGUUUGGACUUUGGGUAUUAGACAGAGACAGACUAUCAAUAAGUUU